Molecule: ribosomal RNA, 549 nt
Filed under: Periconia sp. F31
Lineage: Eukaryota; Fungi; Ascomycota; Dothideomycetes; Pleosporales; Periconiaceae
Description: eukaryotic LSU rRNA
Rfam family: 5.8S ribosomal RNA (bases 163-316)
Source: RNAcentral
GCAUUUUGCGCGCGGACACGCCUGGGCUUCGGCCUGGGUGUGCUCUCGUCCUUGCCUGUUUGUACCUUUUGUUGCUUCCUCGGCGGGAGUCUUCCCGCCGCUAGGAACCCCAAAAACACCUUGCAAUCAGCAGUUUAUUCUGAUAAAUACCUAAAUAUUUACAACUUUCAACAAUGGAUCUCUUGGUUCUGGCAUCGAUGAAGAACGCAGCGAAAUGCGAUAAGUAGUGUGAAUUGCAGAAUUCAGUGAAUCAUCGAAUCUUUGAACGCACAUUGCGCCCCUCGGUAUUCCGUGGGGCAUGCCUGUUCGAGCGUCAUUUACACCCUCAAGCUCUGCUUGGUGUUGGGCGUCUGUCCCGCGCGGUUUGCCCGCCCGGACUCGCCUUAAAGGUAUUGGCAGCGGUCUUGCCGGCCCUCCUAAUUGCGCAGCACUGUUCGCGCUUCCUGGAGUUCGCGCAAAAUCAGCGUCCAUCAAGCCCCAUUUUCUGAACUUGACCUCGGAUCAGGUAGGGAUACCCGCUGAACUUAAGCAUAUCAAUAAGCGGAGGAA